This 733-nucleotide ribosomal RNA is filed under the name Miconia conosetifera. Its description in RNAcentral is "eukaryotic LSU rRNA". The record is from RNAcentral. Lineage: Eukaryota; Viridiplantae; Streptophyta; Magnoliopsida; Myrtales; Melastomataceae.
GGAUCAUUGUCGAAAUCGAACGGAAGAACGACCCGCGAAUCGUCAUUGCGUAGUAGACAGAGCCCGUGAGCACCUAACGCUCACGGGUCUCGCGUCGCGUCGGCGCGGUGUACUCGAGACCCGCGUCGUACCGGCGGACAAACAACGUCAGCACGGAUCGUGCCAAGGAGCUGCAUGGAGAGAAUCGUCGUCCCCCGCCUUUGAUAGUCGUCCUCGACGCGGGACGGGGGAUGUACGCAAUCUCUACUCAAAAGUCUAAACGACUCUCGGCCACGGAUAUCUUCGGCUCUUGAUCKAUKAARAAMGWAGCGAAAUGCGAUACUUGGUGUGAAUUGCAGAAUCCCGUGAACCAUCAAUUCUUUGAACGCAAGUUGCGCCCGAAGCCAUUCGGCCGAGGGCACGCCUGCCUGGGCGUCGUGAAUCCCCUUGCCCCUAGGCACCCGCACGAGCAUCGGCGGGGACAUAUCCUCGGGCGCAGAAUAUGGUCUCCCGUGGGAUCGGCAUGCACGGCAUGACGAGGUGCGGUUGGCCGAAAAUCGAGCAUGGCGGUGACGGGCACCACGGCGUUCGGUGGAUCGAAUGAGAUUGGCUGCGUCGUGGGCUCGGCAUGCGGCGGGCUCCGGACUUUGAAUAUCCCCGAGUGCGAUCCCAGGUCAGGCGGGGCUACCCGCUGAGUUUAAGCAUAUCAAUAAGCGGAGGAAAAGAAACUAACGAGGAUUCCCUUAGUAGCGGC